GGGCACAGAGAGAGAGGGAGAGAGAAAGAGAAGCCUGACACCUCCAGAGCCAGUAAGAGAGAGUGGGUAAAAGAGAAGAGCAGAGAGCUAGGAAGCCAACCUGGAAGAGGAGGCUGCAGUAAAGUAAUCAGGGACAAAGGACAGAGAAUAGAGGAUAGAGGAGCUCUCUAAGGAGACACAAGAAGAUGGCAGGGAGGAGGACAGUUGGACACUCCGAGGCUGCUAGCCCGGGACUGAGGGGAGCCAGGCCUGUGUGCUGAGUGGCAGUGCUGAGUGGGUAGCUUGGAAUGUUGCCUUGAAAGCUGCCUUUGGAAUCCAAGGAGCAGCAAAAUCUCUCUGUCCCUGUCCCUGUCUCUCUCCUUGGGCCUGCCUAUUUGAUCUAAAAGCAGAGGGCUAUACAACACGACCUGAGGCACCGAGAAAAGCCUCUAGGAAGUUCCUGGAAGCUGCUAACAGGCUGUGGUCUGUGGUGGAGACUAGGUUGGAAGCACAGCCAGAGGAGGUGGCAGGACUAAGAACUGGGGCCACACAGUCACUCACAGUCCCUAG
Long non-coding RNA from Perognathus longimembris pacificus (Pacific pocket mouse), 549 nucleotides. RefSeq lists it as uncharacterized. The record is from RefSeq and is a predicted model, not a curated record. NCBI's taxonomy places the organism in Eukaryota, Metazoa, Chordata, Mammalia, Rodentia, Heteromyidae. The transcript is spliced from 3 exons.